ACCCCCAAUAAUGUACUAUAACCCCAAAAUCAAUUCUUAUCUUCCUUUUGAGUUUUGUGUAUGAACCUCCUGGUAAAAUUUCAUGGAAAUCCAUUUACUUAACUCAAGUUAUUGUCUGAAACCAAAUGUGUUUUUUUUAACAUGCUUGUAUUUCCCAUUUCCAUUCUCAAUUUUUUUUGCUAUCAUAUAAGAACUUGAAAAGUAAGCUACAUUAUGUACAUGUAACAAAAAAAAU
Molecule: long non-coding RNA, 235 nt
Filed under: Mytilus galloprovincialis (Mediterranean mussel)
Lineage: Eukaryota; Metazoa; Mollusca; Bivalvia; Mytilida; Mytilidae
Source: RNAcentral